UGAGCAAUCUGCCCUUCUCUUCGGAAUAAGCGUGGGAAACCGCGUCUAAUGCCGAAUACGACCCCCUUUCACAUGAUCGGAGGUGGAAAGCUCCGGCGGUGAAGGAUGAGCUCGCGGCCUAUCAGCUAGUUGGUGAGGUAAUAGCUCACCAAGGCAACGACGGGUAGCCGGCCUGAGAGGGUGACCGGCCACACUGGGACUGAGACACGGCCCAGACCUCCGUACGGGAGGNAGCG
Molecule: ribosomal RNA, 236 nt
Filed under: uncultured bacterium
Lineage: Bacteria
Description: partial 16S ribosomal RNA
Rfam family: Bacterial small subunit ribosomal RNA
Source: RNAcentral